CAGUCACUGUGUGAAAUGAUGGCUGAGCUAAAAGAAGCCAGUAAGUAGCUGUGAAUGGCAUGGCUAUAGUAAUACAGGAUUACAUGGGAUGUGUACAGUGUCAGUGUCAGUAUUGAACAUGGUGCAUGAGAACAAGGAAAACAAUAUGACAUUCAGGGAGGAGAUUUAUUAAAGUGGUAAAAGCUGACACCAAGUCACCAAAUGUAAUGUGAAUUCUAACACCAUUGGCUAACAUGGGGAUUGCUCAAUGCUAGGAUUUUACAUCACCUUUCAAAAUAUCUUCAACUUCAAAUUAUAGCAAAUUAAUAAUAAUAAUAUUUAUAUAUAUAUAAAUUCAAAGCCAAUAUGUGACUGUAGUUGAGUAGGCAAAUGUUUCCACGUUGUUUUUGUUAUUUGGAUUUCAGUUUGUGAUAAUUCACUGUCCACAGAUUGAAGUGGUGAUGGUGCCUGGAGUCUGCUGGUGCUGGGACCUGCCUCACAACUAAUUGGCUUACUCACUGUUCAGUAGAGAUUUUCAGUCCUCGUCAGCCUGAAGCCCAGUUUCUGAUAACAAUAUGGCAGAGACGGAGCUCUGCUAUGCUUCACACCAAAUCAGGGGUAAUAGUCAGUGAUUGGCUGAGAGUGUCGGCUGAGAGUUCUCGACUAAUCACAGCCCCAGUCCAAAUUAUGAAAGGAUAUGGAGUGAAGUGGAAAUAUAGCUCCAACUCCGGCAUCGCUAUUGGAGGCCAAGCUUCAGGCUGCUAGUGAAUGUCUCUACCUGGCACCUGCAUAUUCCAUUGAGUUAAUGUUAGUGAGUAAUUUUCUGCAAGUUACUUAUUACACUCAACUUUAAAUAAACUGUUCUUACGUUGCUUCCAAGUGAGAACUUAAUAAACUCCACUGGAUUUAAACAGUUGUUUACAUGACAGAGGGGAACAGAGGAAAGCAGUGCCUUAAAAGUAUCCUCAAAAUCCAAUCAGAAAAAUUCAAUUUUAAAAGAGAGGACAAAAACGAAAUAUAGUGUAGUAUUUAAAAGUUCUUGAGAUAAAUUAAAGGAACAGCACCUACACUUUUAUUGGAGCUAUUAGUUCCAAAUUUAUGUUCUCAGGCGCUAUAAUCCCCACCUGUGGAUCUGUGGAAUAUCUUGAUCUUGCGUGUGGGAGUAUUUAUGGUUGUCAGUUGUUUUGAUGUUCAAUAGAACACUUUGAGAAAGACUGUAAUUUUUGGCAAAAUGCAUUGAUGUUUAUUUCUUUUAUGGUUUUAAUCUCUAUUUUCAAUAAAUUUAGUUAUUUUAACCAUAUUUGGACCUGCCUGAUUUUGUAGCGGAGAGCUGAUUUCCCACAGCUAAACUCCACCAAGUACUUUAAGAGGAUGCAGGAACAAGUAAUAAAUCCAAUAGAAUAUCCAGCACAAUCAGCAAUACAAUCCAAUAAUAUCCCAUCACUUUACCUUAGAGAGGGUUCAGAGAAGGGCUACUAAACUGGUUCAUGGAUUGCGGGAUAAAACUUACCAGGAAAGGUUAAAGGAUCUUAACAUGUAUAGCUUGGAGGAAAGACGAGACAGGGGGGAUAUGAUAGAAACAUUUAAAUAUAUAAAGGGUAUCAACACAGUAAAGGAGGAGACUAUAUUUAAAAGAAGAAAAACUACCACAACAAGAGGACAUAGUCUUAAAUUAGAGGGACAAAGGUUUAAAAAUAAUAUCAGGAAGUAUUACUUUACUGAGAGGGUAGUGGAUGCAUGGAAUAGCCUUCCAGCUGAAGUGGUAGAGGUUAACACAGUAAAGGAGUUUAAGCAUGCGUGGGAUAGGCAUAAGGCUAUCCUAACUAUAAGAUAAGGCCAGGGACUAAUAAAAGUAUUUAGAAAAUUGGGCAGACUAGAUGGGCCGAAUGGUUCUUAUCUGCCGUCACAUUCUAUGUUUCUGUGUUUCCCCAAUCACUGGACGACACACAGUAUUAGGAGUAGAACUGAACUUUUAAACACACAACCUUCUUUUAAAGCAUUCUCCCAUGCAAGGGAGGGAUUUACAGUAAUACACGAAUUGCCACCCACACAUCCCCUCCCCUUAGUGUGACACAUAAUCCCAUUAUGCAGGACACAGUUCCCCUGGAUUUCUGGAUGUACCCCUAAACCUAGGAGUACCCAUUUAAAUAUUACAUCCCCUGGUAGCCCUGAUCUGGGUGAGACACAUAUCCAAAAAUCACCCAGAUCAGAUCAGGGGUUCAGGAGUUAUGGGGGUUUAAAGUUUUGUGGAGGUCCCUUUAGGCCCACUGAAGCAUGGCUUUCCAGCCCAAACCAGGGCAACGUACCUCGGACGGAGGAUGCCGGUGAGCGUGGAAAGGAUGCGCCCGUGGCUCGACCGGUAUCCUAGGCGUCGAGACUCGCAAGUCUUAUUGGAUGGGUUCUCGGUUGGGUUUUGGAUCCCCUUUGUGCCUUCAUCCUCACCGACCUUUGCCGGUAAUUUGCGGUCGGUGGUGUGGAAAGAAACCAUUUUGGGGGACAAGCUUGAGAAGAAGGUUCGUCUGGGUCGUAUGGCGGGCCCCUUUGAUGGCCUUCCUUUUCCCAAUUUGCAGGUCUCUCCACUGGGCUUGGUUCCCAAAAAGGAGCCGGACGCUUUUCACCUCAUUCACUACCUGUCAUAUCCCUCGGGCGGGUCGGUGAAUGACGGGAUUGAUAAGGAGGUGUCUAGGGUCAGGUAUGCCUCCUUCCAACUAGUCUGGCAGUGUGCCUGGGACAACACCCUGCUGGAGAACAGUGGGACAGGAAACGGGGGAGGGGUACACCUUCCUAUACACAAUCUAUACACAGUCUAAUAGAAGUCCAUACACUGUUACUUAGAGUUUUGUGUACUCCAGGCACAGGAAAAUCUCUGCAGGGCCAACAAUCAAUAAAAGGGAAUGGGACAGCUACAGAUUUUUUUCAGAAGAUACUGACUUCAUAUUCCUUGGUGGGGAACAUACCACCUAAGCAAUAACGAUAGAGCAAAACCCAUUUUUUUGCUCUCCACUAGUGAGUAUAUCUCCUUUUAUCACCUAUAUUUAUCUUGCUACAGAGAGCAUUAUAAAUCUAUAUAUUUUAUUCCUUUAUAUAUGGUGAAUAUCCUGGUGACCCUUUGCUGAUACACUCAUGUGCACUGACAAGCUUAAAUCCUGAAUACCUUGAGUUAGGAUGCUCAUACCACACCGGCUACUAAAACAACUAUCAACCGUGAAUAAUCCCACAUGCUAGAUCAAUAUAUUCUACAGAUCUAUAGGUGGGGAUUAUACCGCUCAAGCGCAUGUAUUUGGAGCUAAUUAAUAGCUCCAAAACAGUGUAAGUGCUUUUCUUUUUAUUUAUCUCACCAACUAUCUGAAAAUACUACACCAUAUUUUGUUUUUGUCCUUUCAUUUUGCAAAUGGAAUUUUCCUGAUUGGAUUUUGAGGAUACUUUUACGGCUUUGCUUCCAUCUGUCCCUUUUCCACACCAUCGACGACCAGAAAGAAGAUACUCUGGUUUGCUUUGUUCAAGCUACAUAUAUGCACUACAAACACGUGCUAGAGACCUUACCUAUUUUUUUUUGUCUGUAGGGUCCAAAUCAAAAAUGAUCCCUUUCUAUAUGGAGAGAGACGUUGAGUUAGGCAAAAGACAUGAAGCCAUGUAAGUAUGGACCUAUACGUUGACUCAUGUCAUUAGGUUUUGGCUUUAUAGGAUUACUAAUAUAUUAAAGGAACACUCCAAAGUUAGAAAAAUAUGUUUGUUUUACAUAGUUUUUAUUUUGAAAUGCCAUUUGGGAUCAUACAUUCUACUAACUGCAAAAAUACUGAUUUGGUUGCCUACGCAGAGGCAUAGCAAGUCAACAUUAUGCAACAUAAGCCUGUGUUCAGAAACAGAGGCGAGAAAAUCGUAAUUUAAAGGUGAGACUGUUGUAGUGUAGCGGUAUAGUGACUAGAGCAGGUGUCAUUGCUAGGUAUGUGACUUGUAUGGUAUAUGGUUCCCAAAUUAACAGUACAUCAAGCAGUUCGAUCGAAAACGUCUCAUAAAAUAAAGCAGCAAAAUAUUGAUCCUUACAGUUAAAAGUAACAGUUGAGAUACUGGAUGAACAUAACAGUAGUGAUAUUAAUGAGACCAUAUUCGCUAGGGCGUAUUAAUGCAAUCCCCGUAUUCCCCUAUUAGUUAGGCAGACAAGUAAAAGUAUGUGCCAUCUGCAGUUGACUUGCUGCUGUAAUCAUGGAGAUAUAUUGGAUCAAUACAUCUCUAUGGAGAGCGUGAAGAUGCAAAUUAUCUUCCUGCAAAGAUUGCAGGACUGCUCAAGGCCCUAUAGAGGCUGUCUGAGUGACAGCUGUUAAAAUUGGUCUUGGGAAGCAAUGUAAACACUGCAAAAAUGCAGUGUUUGCAAUGCUGUGGCUGCAGAGACAAGCUCUUUGCGCCAGAAUCUUUAACAUUAAGCUGUUGUGGUUCUGAUUCUUAAAGUGUCCCUCUAAUAAAAAUAAAUACAUAAAUUAUAUAUAUGUUAUGCCAAAUAACACAUUGUGAUAUUUUCACAUCUGUUUGAAUAAGGAAAUGAUCCAAGACUUCUUGGAGAUAUCUGGCAAUGAGAGCCACAGGGAAGUAUGGAGAAACUGUAUGUACUAUAGCAAAAGGUAGUCUUGUGAAUAAAAACAUAAAACAGUUACCAUCACAAUUCUAAUUAUUGAUUAGUGUUAAAAACAGUAUACACAUACUUAUAUAAGGAGCUGACAAUCCCAACAGGCAAUAUACUACACAGCUGAAAAAGUAACGUAAAAUGAAAAGAAAAUGUUUAAAAAUAAAGUGAAAAAUACAAAAUGAGAAAAUAUGGCAUUAGAAACAUUUGUCAAGGGAAACACCUAAUACAAUCUUAGGACUAAAACCGAGUCAUUGCCCCCCAGUACUUAAUACGAUUUCCCUUGACCAGUAUUGAGAAAAUACUUGAAAAGCAGUCUUUGAAGCUUGUUAGAUCCAUAUGUAAAAGCUGGUACUGACAAUGCAUGCCGUAGAACAUAGAGCACAAUGCAAAACACCACAUGUAAAAAAAUAAAUAAAAAAAUAAAUUUUCUCACUCAGAGAUGCACUUUUCACAGUCAUGUAUGGAUGGCCAUCUACAUGAAUACAGUAUAAAAGAACAGUGUAUCAAAUUGCAGUAUACGUAUGGUAACCUGAAUACCACAUAGAUGCUUACUUAAAGAGUUCAUAGUUCUUUCGAAGGCCCUGUAGUGGGUUGCUGACUGUCAUUACUACCAUGUUUAAUGACAUUGUUAAAAUUGUAUGUAUCACCUCAUCAUCAACAAAUAUCAUUGUAAACAGAGAAGACUCUUGUUACCAGAUUUAACAAAAUUCACUAUCAUAAGAAAUGUGAUAAAAAUGAGAAGUGAAAUUAAAUACAGCUGCAUGUAUGGUAAACAUGAUUGUUUGGAUCAAAUACAAAUGUUUGAUUAAUUUGUCUAUCUACUCCUUCCAAAUUAAUAAGUAUAUGCGUGCACGCUCCCUAGAGUAAUUCACACAGGGCACAAGUUGUUCUGUUCAAUAAAAUCCCCAGGAGUGGUUCAUUCCAAGGGGUUGGACCCUUUUUUUUUCUUUUUUUUUUUAUUCUUUAUUUUUUUGUGCAUGGAUGGUAUAGAUAACAUUCAGUCUAGCAAUGCCACAUCAGCUUUUGCCAGAUUUUUCAGAGACAUAGAAUUAUAAUUGUAUGGCAUGAGGAACUGUGCACAUUUUUUUUAAAGUAAAGAUGAGGAACAGUAGCAUAUUGUAAGUCAUGUGUGUGUUGAGUGGUUAUGUGGCUUAGCCAUUGACUAUGCUAUGAGAGGUGAAAUGUAUAAUAGAAAACAAAAGAUACAACAGAGGUAUAACGGUUAACUGACGCGUCCUUAUUUUUAGCAUAUUAUGAUGUACGAUGUAGCAGGGAAGGUUACAGUGCUAUGUGAUGAUGCAUUUGAGUAGCUACGCUGUAGAAAGCAGUGUAGGUUAUAUAUCAGUAGUAGCGUGCCUGUAAUUUGGCCCAGAAGCAUUCGAAGAUUACAAUAAUGGGGUCUCUUGCUUGGUUCCUGGUGUCUGCCAUACCAGGAUGUUGUCGUUGCUUGUUAGACACUAUUGUGUCUGCUUGAUCUGCCAUCUUGGGUGCACCCGUUUCCCUCUCGCUUGUGGAGGUCUUUUUGCCUGUCGGGGUUCGGGGCAAAUCCACCUGGCGAGGACCGUGAUAUGCCCCACCGGUCCAUAUGGGGGGGUGCGUGGUUUGCACUCGUGCAUUGCGGAUGGCGUCUGGCGGGAAGGUGGCCAUCCAUCCCCCGUGCCUCCACUAGGCCUCAGUUUGCUGCCGCAUUUCCCGGUCGGGUCGGGUGUUAUGUGUUGUGUCGGCAUGACCGUGGCUGCUUUCUCUUGCCCAUGGGCUGGUGCGUGAGUGGAUAGCAGCAUUUGGUCUUGGGUUAUCUGCUAAAUUUGGGCCUGCACUGCAGGAGCUCAUGUAGAAUGCGUCUAGUCAGUUACUCGGCUCCGCUCCGCUCCUCGCUGGGACCCUUUUUUAAAGCAGAAAUACGUCAUGUACAGAUUCACAGUUAACAUAAAGUAUACAUUCAACAAUUGGUUAAAAGUUAGGAGGUCUUGUCUAAACCCACCAUACAGGAACUUAUGUCAUCAUUACCGAGCUCUCCCACCCACAUUCCAGCUCCAUCUUGGUUACACAAUGGGAGGGGGAGUGAGUAGUUACUGAACAAAGAAGGGGGAAGGGUAUGAAGUGGAAACAGUUACUUUAACAGCGAUCCUCCAUUUUGUUACACUUGGCAGAGAGCUGUAAGUUGCACAAAGGAAGUGGGGGAGGGGUUAGUAAAGGAAGCUGUUCCUUUAACACAGGAAUCUGUUACACGAGGCUUGCUGGAUGGGAAGGGAAGCAGGAUGGGGAGGAGUUUACAGAGAAAAUAGUUACUGAGCACACAGAGGGGGAAGGGAAGCUUUUUACUGAAUAGGAACUCAUGUACAGAAAAAUAGACAUUUUAUCCAUUCAAGUAUUUUGUCCAUAACAUGAUUACACUGGAAAUCAUAACAUAGCAAAACAUGAUUGAUACACAACAAACAGUUGUCUAUCAAUCAUGCAAAAUAACUUGGAAAGCAAGUGAUGGGGAAAAAUAUGAGGGACUACCUUUUUGUGAAAAGCAGAAUAAUGGUAGCGUAAGAGUAUACUUUCAUUAGACCAUAAUACCCAAGUUAUAGAAAGUUGUAUGGCUAAUUCUGUACACACAAGAAUGCUGUAUAGUCCUACAAAAGACAAGAUAGUGGAUUAACUGUAACAAUAACAGCUGCAAAAGAAACAAAAUACUCACAAGUACACAAAUAUGUAAAACAAAAUGCUUGAUCUAGAAGGACCAGAGGAGGCAGAGCAAUUCUCGUCUACAAGUUAAAGCUAGGCUAAAAGGAGAACCAUUAUUAAGAGUUGCAUCUUUGAAAGAUUAUACCUCAUUAAAUUCAUUAGUUUGUAAAGCUACAAGAACAGAUACAUUCAUGGGAAACAAUACACCCUCUUUGAAUUCUGUGGUUUUAGAUAUUUAACAGGUCUUAAAAUUAGGUAAAUAAAACCUAUGAUGAUCAAUAACACAUGACGUAUUACACCAAUAAAGCCAAAAUGGAGAAGACAUGUGUGAAAGACAGUUCACCAUUACUGCUUCCAUAGGAAUUAAAAGGUUUAGUAGCAGACAGGUGCUGCUAGUAAAAGGCCCUUGAAUAAUUGAUAAUCAGCAAGUGUGAUCAUCACCUCUAUAAAAGUCAAAGUUUUAACAGCUUGCUGGUAUGAAGCUUUCAGGUGUGUAUUAACACAACGUCAAUAUGGAAAGUCCUCAGCAAUGAUCUUAGAGAAGUAAUUGUUGCCGCCCAUCACACUGUGAAGGGUCAUAAGGCCAUUUCCAAACAAUUUAUUGUCCAUCAUUCUACAGUGAGAAAGACUAUUCAAAAGUGGAAAACAUUUGAGGCAAUUGCCAAUCUUCCCAGGAGUGGACAUCCCAACAAGUUCACCCCAAGGUCAGACUGUGCAAAGCUUAGAGAAAUUGCAAAAAAAAAAAAACAAGAGUUACAUCUCAGACUCUACAAGCCUCAGUUAGCAUGUUAAAUAUUAAAGUUCAUGACCGUACAAUUAGAAAAGACUGAACAAGUAUGGUUUGUUUAGAAGGAUUGCCAGGACAAAGCCUCUUCUCUCUAAAAUGAACAUGACAGCACAGCUGAACAAACCACGAGACUUCUUGAACAAGGUCCUUUGGACAGACGAGACCAAAGUGGAGAUAUUUGAUCAUGAUGCACAGCGCCACGUUUGGCGAAAACGAAAACUGCAUAUCAGCACAAAUACCUGUUAAGGAUUUUGGCUUGUUUUGCAGCCACAGGACCUUGGAACCUUGCAGUCAUUAUUGAGUCAGCCAUGAACUCCUCUUUAUACCAGAAUACUUUGUAGUCAAAUAUGAGGCUGACAGCUAAAGCUUGAUUGAGUCAUGGAAAAGGACAAUGAUCCCAAGCACACUAGCAAUUUUUCAACAAAAUGGCUGAAAAAGAAUCAAGGGGUUGCCAUAGCCCAGUCAAAGACUAGACCUGAUUGAGAUGCUGUUGCAGGACAUUAAGAGAGCUGUGCAAAAACAAAUGCUAGCAAACCUCAAUGAACUGAAGCAACGUUGUAAAGAAGAGUGGGCCAAAAUACCCCCACAACAAUGUCAGAGACUGAUAGUCAUACAAAAAAUGUUUACUUCAAGUUAUUACUGCUAAAAGUAUUGAAUCAUACGGUGUACUUAGUUUUUCACACAUGGCUUCUCCAUUUUGGCUUUAUUUUUGUUAAAUAAAUCAUGAAACAGUGUAAUAUGUCCUGUGUUAUUGUUUAUCCGAGGUUGUAUUUAUUUAAUUUUAAGACCUUUUAAUGAACAGAUGAUUAUGUCCUAAUAUGUAAAACCACAGAAUUCAAUGAGAGUACUUUUUUCCACCAUGACUGUAUAUUGGUCUCUUUAUGCUUGAGCUACAGCUCAACUUUUCAGUAGUCAGCUGGAUAUCACCUGUGUGUUCACUUAUCCUCUCUAAUAAUAUGUUCUUGCCAUAUGAAUUGUGCCACGUGGGUAUUUCAGUGGGCACACCACAUAAGCCAAGUUCCCAGUGUAAUAGUUAGAAAACAACACCAGCUCCCAGGCAAAAGCAAGAUGCCAAAUUUUGUUCACUGCCCAUAAAGAUCCAAGGCAUUCAUAGUUGAACGUAAUAAAGACAUAAUAUUUCCUAUACCAAGAUACAUAUCUUUCCCUACACUAAUAAACAAGCUUAUAUAUAUACAGUUGCAAGAAAAAGUAUGUGAACCCUUUGGAAUAAUAUGGAUUUCUGCACAAAUUGGUCAUAAAAUGUGAUCUGAUCAUCAUCUAAGUCACAACAAUAGAGAAUCACAGUCUGCUUAAACUAAUAACACACAAAGAAUGAAAUGUUGCCAUGUUUUUAUUGAACACACCAUGUAAACAUUCACAGUGCAGGUGGAAAAAGUAUGUGAACCCUUGGAUUUAAUAACUGGUUGAACCUCCUUUGGCAGCAAUAACUUCAACCAAACGUUUCCUGUAGUUGCAGAUCAGACGUGCACAACGGUCAGGAGUAAUUCUUGACCAUUCCUCUUUACAGAACUGUUUCAGUUCAGCAAUAUUCUUGGGAUGUCUGGUGAAUCGCUUUCUUGAGGUCAUGCCACAGCAUCUCAAUCGGGUUGAGGGCAGGACUCUGACUGGGCCACUUCAGAAGGCGUAUUAUCUUCUGUUUAAGCCACUCUGUUGUUGAUUUACUUCUAUGCUUUGGGUCAUUGUCCUGUUGCAGAACCCAUCUUCUGUUGAGCUUCAGCUGGUAGACAGGUAGUGUUGUGUGUUUCUUCCAAACAACUCAACUUUUGUGCGAGGCAUCAUUCACAUCAGGCAAUGCUUCUUGUGAAAAGCAAACCCAGAACUGGUGUGUGUUUUUUAUAGGGCAGGGCAGCUGUAACCAACACCUCCAAUCUCAUCUCAUUGAUUGGACUCCAGUUGGCUGACAUCUCACUCCAAUUAGCUCUUGGAGAUGUCAUUAGUCUAGGGGUUCACAUACUUUUUCCACCUGCACUGUGAAUGUUUACAUGGUGUGUUCAAUAAAAACAUGGCAACAUUUCAUUCUUUGUGUGUUAUUAGUUUAAGUAGACUGUGAUUCUCUAUUGUUGUGACUUAGAUGAUGAUCAGAUCACAUUUUAUGACCAAUUUGUGCAGAAAUCCAUAUCAUUCCAAAGGGUUCACAUACUUUUUCUUGCAAGUGUGUAUAUAAAUAUAAAUAUAUAUAAAUAACUAGUGCAUGCACAGCAUUAGUGUUAUAUUAAUUAUUACAAAAACAAGAUUAGCCACAAUCCUUAAAAGUCAUGUAUAAAUACAUGAAAGAUUCCUUCAAAGAAGAAUAUACCUAAAAAAAAGUAAAGUAAAAAAUUAUUUACUAUAAAAGGAGUUUGAGAUACAAGUGUUGGAGAGCGGGAACCUUUUAACCCCUUAAGGACACAUGACAUGUGUGACAUGUCAUGAUUCCCUUUUAUUCCAGAAGUUUGGUCCUUAAGGGGUUAAACGUCUUAUAUUCUAAAAUGAGGAAAACAAAAUAACAUUACACAUAUAAAUAAAACAAUAAAAAAUGGCACAGUUCAACAUCUACGUUCAACCCCCUGGGAUACAUAGUAUCCAGCUUAUAAAUCCACUCAAUUGCCUGUGCACCAAAUUUGUUAUUAAAUAAUCUCCUUUCUGAACAUUUUAAAUCCCUAAAAAACAAGCUCACAGGAAUUAUUUAAAAUAAAACAAAAACGGAGCUGAACACACUGGUAUUUAAAACCCCUUUUUUAUAUUUCUCACAUGUUCUUCCACUUUGACAUGUUGAGAAUAUGUUGCCCUACCUACUUAACAGAAUCCAAAGCACAGGAUAGCUAAUAUGUCACAUUUCUACUGUUUCACACUAUGAGCUGUCCAAUACUGUAAACCUUCUAAUCCUUUUUGUAAAUUUAAAAAAAUGUUCCUUGGUCACAGAGUUAUACAAUUCUUUGGAUGCUUGGUGUUAACUGUAGUCUCACUAUUACAAGAAAAAUAAAAUGACAGGAAAAUAAAAAUAAAUAAAUAAAGAUUUGGAGAUUUCUCUGUGCAAGGCUUUUGUAUGAAAUACUCUGGAAAAUAUAACCCUCAUCAUGUAAUUUUAUACUUAGAAUGGCUGAAAAACAUCAACUUUUAGAGAAAAUUAUGCUCUAUCAAAAACAAGAAGCAGAUGAAAGAAAAGCAUACCGCCUAGGAACGAAAGAAGCACAUAUUAGAAACCAGUCUAUCUUACAAGUAAGUUUUUUAAGUUUAUUGCUACUCUUUCAGAUCUUGAUUUUGAAAACAUAUCAGUCCCUUAAGGACUGAGGCAGUUGUGCAAGUUGUGAUCAAAACAAAACGUAAACAAAAACUUGAAUUUGUGCUAUAUGUCUAUUCAGGCAAUACAUUUUACUGUUUUGAAACACUAAUAUUUGUGUUCCGAGUAAAACAGUACCCCCCCAUAUACAGGUUUUAUCGUGUCUUGGAAAGUUACAGGGCUAAAUAUAGUGCUAGCAAAUUAAAUUCCCUGGACUUUGGCCUGGGUUGUCAGGCAGGUCCCGCAAAUUGUAAUUAAUAAAAUGACCUAAUUGUGUAAAAUUAUUACAUAAAUAUAUACGUAGAAUUAAUAUAUCUAUAUAUAUAUAUAUAUAUAUAUGUAUAUGUAUGUAUUUGUGUGUAUAUAUAUAUAUAUAUAUAUAUAUAUAUAUGUGUGUGUGUAUAUAUAUAUAUAUUUUUUUUUUACAAUUAUAUAUAUAUAUUUUAAAAAAAAUAUAGUGAUAUAUACUUAUGUAUAUAUAUAUUAUUUCGUUCCACAUGUAUUUUGAUAUCAAAAUAUAUAUAUAUAUGUAUAUAUAUAUAUAUAUUCAUUUUAAAAUACAGUAAGAACGAAUUUACAAAAUAUAUAUAUAUAUAUAUAUAUAUAUAUAUAUUUUUUUUUUUUAACAUAUUUAUUUUAUAUUAUAUAUAAAUAUAUAUAAUGAAAAUUAUAUAUAUAUAUAUUUAAUCAAUAUGAUUGUACAUGUAUUUUGAUAUUAAUAUAUAUUUAUAAUUAUAUAUAUUAAAAUACACUUAGUAUAUAUAUAUCUAAGUAUAUAUUUUAUUUUAAACUGUAUCUUGAACUUUUAUUUUACCUUUUUCAGACAGCAGGGGCAGCAAGUCAUUACAGGCACUCCCCCUGCUGGCAUUGCUAUGGACGGCUAUGCCGUCCAUGUGAUUGUGAGGUCCUCGCAAGGACCUCGCGAUCACAUGGCCCAGGGGUGCCGAAGAGGAAGGAGGGGGACUCCCUGGGCUCCCAGAUGAGUCUCCACACCGCGAUCGCCGGCGUGGGAUCGCCAACGACCGGGUAAGUAGAAAGGACGGUUUGGGCAUUCUAUGCCGCCCGCCGGCAUUUAGAGCCGGGUCCCCAAGGACGGCAUAGAACGCUCACCGUCUUUAAGGGGUUAAAGAGAUGUUAUAUGAAAGCAUUUUGAAUCCACUGUAACUAUUUUUGUUUGAUAGCAUAUAUACAGUAUAUACAGGUAGGUAGAUACUAAAAAGAAUGUGGUGAGGCAAUUUCCCACAGUGCAAGUAUAAAAAAAAAAUUGUUAUGCAUCACCUGCAUAUCUUAAGGUAGACUUUGAUUCUGGGCAUAGAAACUCAUUAAAUCAUGUUUCCACGACUAUUCCAGAGUUUCCAACUUGACAUGCAAAUGAGCACAGACAGGCAUCAUAUUUCAGACUUCAAACUGCAGCGCUGCACAAAUCCCAGGCGCCAGGUCGCCUUCGUGCCUAGGAAUUAUGUCUUGGCGCUAGGAAUAUGUGAGCCUGUUGCCUCAGAGGUUGGCAGGAUGCCGGCUGGGGAAUUGUGGAGGUGGGUGGCAAGAUAUGGAGAUUAUGGAAGCGGGCGGCAUGCUGGAAGGUCGUGGAGGUGGGCGGCUAGCUGCGCGAAUGGUAGAUGGGCAGUGAGGGAGCUGUGAUGUCCCUGCUCUGCUCCCUCGCACGCCAUUUAGUGAUUCCGGAGCCGACAUAUGCAGUCAUAUUCCGUCUUGUCUAUGGUAAAUUGAUAAAAGACCAAAGCAUCCACGCGUUUCGUCUCAGCAAGAGACUUAUCCAUUUACCAUAGACAACAAGUAUUGUUUAUUUAAAGGACCGUUAUAGGCACCCAGACCACUUCAGCUCAAUUAAAUGGUUUGGGUGCCAGGUUCCCCUAGUUUUAACCCUGCAAGGUUAAGCCAGCCUCUAAUGGCUGUCUCCCUGACAGCCACUAAAGGCCGCUUCCACAAUUUACACGGAGUAAAUUGCACUUAUUUGAUGCUGGACGUCCUCAUUGCAAUCAGAAUUUAUUUUAUGUUCAUUUAUGGUACUUAUAUAGUGUUUUUUAUUAUUAAGAGUUAUAUUUUCGCAAUUACUGUUGUCUGUUUGUAUAUACAUUAAAUAUUAUUAUAUUAUAUAUUAUUGGUUCAUAUUUUAUCGAUAGGAGCGCACACACUAAUACUUUUUGAGUAUUAAUCUUCUUUCAAGUCGCUCUCUUAGGUGUGUAGCUGCCCACCUUGAUUUGGUAUUAGGUCAUCCCCUAUUUUAGUUUUGUAUUUCGUACUGAAUUUCUGCAGAUAACCUUUGUCAUGAACGCACCCUACUCCAAGAGUGUGCGUGACGUAGUUGUGGUGGUGAAAGGGUUAAGGUUCACUAUUUGUCUGCACUAGACCGGAAAUAAUGAUAAAAUCCCCCUUAACACCACCCACACUUAAUUAUAAUAAUAUAAAUAUUACUAUUUUAACGCUGCCACCACUAAGACAAUUUAUAAAUGGGGUGCCUUGGCUCCCCAGGUAACUGAAUACUAAAAACCCAUCAUAUACAACUUGGCACAAUAUUUAAGCAAUAGCAAAACACUAAUUAGUCUCUUCGGGUAACAUGAUUUUUUACCAUACAAAGGCAGAGCUUAAUAAAGGAAUAUUUAUUAUGAGCAAAAAUAGUCACAGUGCAUACAAAAAUAUAGAUAACAAUCAAAUUAGUUACACCAACAACACAUAAAAACAAAAGGGAUAAAAUGACAGAUAUCCUAAUCGCUUACUCAGGUUUUCAAAGUAAAACUUCUUCCCAGGGGGUCUCUGGCAAGGAAGAUGGUGACUCACAAUAAGAUUUUGGCCCCAAGCAAAUACAAUACACAUUUUAGUACCAUUAGAUAUAUACCCUGUGUUUUACCAAGCCCGGCCCAGAGGUGGAGAUAAGGCAUGCCUAUAGAGACAAUAAGUGAUCACCCCUUGGUUUUAUUUCCUCUUGUGUACUUGCCAUAGAAAUAAUAAUCGCAUCUAUGAAUUUGUUACCAUUUUUCCAUUCCAUAGAUAAGUCACACUUCUUACUUGUGACCCAAUAUAGUGGACAUCACAAUCCCUUCCCAUAUGGUUAAGCUACACCAAUCAUGUUUAGGCUUGAUUAGAAGAUUGUGCUUGUCCCAUUCUAAAUAUAAUAAAAAUGAGUCUUAAUUAUUAAUCUGUGAGUAAGUAUUCAUAUUUCUUUUGGAUAUGAUACUGGAACACAAGGUUUUUUUUUUUCCUUAAAAGCUAAUGACCAUUCAUAUCAAAUGACUCUCUAUCUAAGAGGGAAUCUAGACAUAUGGCAAAUUAGAGAGUUAGUUUAUAUUUAAACCAGACUUCCAGGCCACUUAUGUGUGACUUCUCACACCUUACAGAGUAGGUCUGUUGGGGUCCCAGCUUCAAAGAGGAAUUAAGGUUGUAAGCUCUGACCUCAAAUUUACCCCUUUUGGAAUUGACAAUACAACGCAGCCAGUUCAUCUAUGCACUACACAAAUGACAUUAAAUGACAAUAUUCAAUAGUGCAACAAUGAAUUAUGAACCCGUGCCAUGACAACCUUAGCAACAGACUGUUUUUAAAACAGAUUUGUUUUUUUUAAAGUCUGUGUAUACAAUAAAGCAGAUUUUAUCACAUUAAGAAGAUCUCAGAGUGAGAGUAUGUAUAUCUCCUCUCCGGCAUUGGUUGUGGAGGCAAUCAGGGGUGCCCGGCACAUGCCAGUUUGAUUUCUUAUAAAGAGGAGGCACCAGGGCACUCAUGGCACCACACCCACUACAGUAUGCUGUAGUGGUGAUGGUGCUUGGAGUGUUUCUUUAGUCUAUGCAUUGCAUCUAAAGUGUGUGUCUGGAAUACCUUUUUAGUAUCAUUGAAGACUCAUUAUAUUCAUCUCUUGUGCAUGUAAAACAUUUCCAAUGUUCCUCUAGUAAUUUUAUGCAGAAAAGCACUAAAUUUAAUAGAACAUAUUUGCAGUGGAGAUAAAUUGGUUUUAUUCAUAUAUUUAUUGGUACUCUAGUGGUAACCUUAACCUUUGUCUUAUUUUCUUUAUCCCCAGGAUUUGCAAAUAGCUGAAGACAGGUUUAAGCAAAUGGAGAGAUCAAGUCCCUACCCAACAGUUAUUCAUUUGGAGGUUAGUGUGAAAUGGCAUUUAUUAGCACGUCAGGGACCUAUGUCAUGAUCCUUAGUAUCAGGUAUGUUGGUGCAAAUCUAUUGUGUUGAUUGCUAAAUCUAACGAGAUUGCAAAAAACUCCAAAAUACAUCUUUCAACGUUUGGGUUUUAGGCAUGUACAGUAUUAAGUAUUUUUAAGGCUUAAAUUAUUACCCUUUUUCUGAAGCUGGGCUUUAUUUACUAGGUUCCCCCUUAUAAACCUAAAAAUAAAGAAUUAGACUUACCUGGUAUCCAGCAUCGGGCAAAGGUUCCAGCGCUGCCUUCCACGCUUCAGUCUGACGUCAGCGGUGCCCAAUCGUGGUCCUGUAAUGAAAAAUCUCAAUACUUCUGUCUUCAGCACCCUGAGAUAACAUUUGCACAGAAUUGACAUUAGUAUCACAUUAAGUCAUGUGUGCUGGGUGUGCAUUUACAGGCUCCUACCACCAUUACCACGUCUCAAAGAAGAAAUAUAUAUAACAAACCUAAAAUCAGCUGAAUUUCAAACCACGAAUGUUCAGUUUAUGUGCAGGUGUGUAAACUAAUGGCAUCCUGUUGUGCACUGAAAUUUUUCUAGAGCAAUUUAAGUAAAACUGUGCAUAUACCGUGGAUUUUACAAAGGAUAUUGACUACUCUAAAUGUAAUUUUUUUAAAACUUUUUUUUAUAUAUAACCUGACCUUUACUUGCAUAAUCAGUAUCUUUAUAUAGUAAUAAAGAGUGAAAAAGAUACUUACCCUUUUCACUUAGAUUUCUGAAUGGGGUUCUAGUGAUAGGUAGAGAGUGCCUCCCCAUCUGAAAUUUCCUGAUUAAAUCCUUGCACCAACAAAGGAAGUAGACUUAUUGGGUGCCAUCUUUAAAAGUUUGGGGCUAAACCAUUUGUUAGCAGUUUCACCUCUUAAGGAGAGACAGCGCCUGGUUCUUCCUCACAUCAUACCAACUUAAUUGGGAUGAAGUUAUUAUGGUGUGUUCACCCUUUAAGAUGAAUCUUUACCAUUGUAUGCAGUUUUCACUCCCAGAUCUCCAUUAUAUUUCUUAGGAGCACUACUGGGAGUUCGUGGAGGAGGAACUUCCCAAGUGGGAACAAUUUCUUUUAGGAAAAACGACAUCUCCUUUUGGCAUGAAGAAAAAGCAGCAAUCAAGACAAAAAUUUAUAAAUUCACAAACUAUGCAUUUACCAAAGGAAGUAAAAGUGUCCACAUUGGGAUCGAAAUCAAAAACAUUUCCAGUGUAACAUCCAAGUAAAAGAAAC
RNAcentral lists this long non-coding RNA (16699 nucleotides) under Pelobates cultripes (western spadefoot toad). Lineage: Eukaryota; Metazoa; Chordata; Amphibia; Anura; Pelobatidae. The record is from RNAcentral.